AGAAGGUAAUCACAGCGACCGCCAGGCAAAUCGAGAGUUUGAUUCGUCUCAGCGAAGCAUUAGCUCGCAUGCGCUUUUCUGGAUCGGUGGAGAUAAGUGAUGUCACUGAGGCGUUUAGGUUGCUCGAAGUUGCAAUGCAGCAGUCGGCAACCGAUCAUAGCACAGGAACCAUUGACAUGGAUCUCAUUAUGACUGGUAUAUCUGCGAGUGAGAGGAUAAGGCGAGAGAGUCUGGUUG
Molecule: unclassified non-coding RNA, 237 nt
Filed under: Hevea brasiliensis (rubber tree)
Lineage: Eukaryota; Viridiplantae; Streptophyta; Magnoliopsida; Malpighiales; Euphorbiaceae
Source: RNAcentral